Heterocephalus glaber (naked mole-rat) is the source of this 103-nucleotide small nucleolar RNA. NCBI's taxonomy places the organism in Eukaryota, Metazoa, Chordata, Mammalia, Rodentia, Bathyergidae. The record is from Ensembl.
AUCCCUUUGUGGUUCCUAAGUAUGAUGAUUGGGUUUUCACACUAUAGUGUGAGAUUGCCUCCUUCAAACCUUGUUAUAGUGUUGGCACAUUGCAUGUCUGCUG